This 258-nucleotide unclassified non-coding RNA is filed under the name uncultured fungus. RNAcentral describes it as "partial contains 5.8S ribosomal RNA, internal transcribed spacer 2, and large subunit ribosomal RNA". Lineage: Eukaryota; Fungi. The record is from RNAcentral.
AACGCACAUUGCGCCCUUUGGCAUUCCGAGGGGCAUGCCCGUUCGAGCGUCAUUAAACCCACUCAAGCCUGGCUUGGUCUUGGGCGCCGGGACCCCCCGCGCCCCCAUGUCGCCGGCCGGCCGUCGUUCGACGUAGCGUUGUGACACAUGUCGCUACCGACGAACGGCGGACACCGCGCCGUGAGAAUCUCCUUGGACGUCGCCCGACGUCCAGUACCGGUUGACCUCGGAUCGGGUAGGAAUACCCGCUGAACUUAA